This 742-nucleotide ribosomal RNA is filed under the name uncultured bacterium. RNAcentral describes it as "bacterial SSU rRNA". It matches the Rfam family "Bacterial small subunit ribosomal RNA", at positions 8 to 796 of the family's 1533-position model. The record is from RNAcentral.
AGAGUUUGAUCCUGGCUCAGAACGAACGCUGGCGGCAGGCUUAACACAUGCAAGUCGAACGCAUCCUUCGGGGUGAGUGGCAGACGGGUGAGUAACGCGUGGGAACGUGCCCUUCAGUUCGGGAUAACCCAGGGAAACUUGGGCUAAUGCCGGAUACGUGCGAGAGCAGAAAGAUUUAUCGCUGAAGGAUCGGCCCGCGUCUGAUUAGCUAGUUGGUGGGGUAAUGGCCCACCAAGGCGACGAUCAGUAGCUGGUCUGAGAGGAUGAUCAGCCACAUUGGGACUGAGACACGGCCCAAACUCCUACGGGAGGCAGCAGUGGGGAAUAUUGGACAAUGGGCGCAAGCCUGAUCCAGCCAUGCCGCGUGAGUGAUGAAGGCCUUAGGGUUGUAAAGCUCUUUCGUCCGGGACGAUAAUGACGGUACCGGAAGAAGAAGCCCCGGCUAACUUCGUGCCAGCAGCCGCGGUAAUACGAAGGGGGCUAGCGUUGUUCGGAAUCACUGGGCGUAAAGGGCGCGUAGGCGGCUUUGUAAGUCGGGGGUGAAAGCCUGUGGCUCAACCACAGAAUUGCCUUCGAUACUGCAUGGCUUGAGACCGGAAGAGGUAAGUGGAACUGCGAGUGUAGAGGUGAAAUUCGUAGAUAUUCGCAAGAACACCAGUGGCGAAGGCGGCUUACUGGUCCGGUUCUGACGCUGAGGCGCGAAAGCGUGGGGAGCAAACAGGAUUAGAUACCCUAGUAGUCC